Rosa chinensis is the source of this 1622-nucleotide long non-coding RNA. RefSeq lists it as uncharacterized. The transcript has 3 exons. NCBI's taxonomy places the organism in Eukaryota, Viridiplantae, Streptophyta, Magnoliopsida, Rosales, Rosaceae. The record is from RefSeq and is a predicted model, not a curated record.
UAAAGUGGAUUGCAACCUCCUCAUUGAUCCCUGCUAGAACACCAAACCUCAAACAAAAUUGUCCCAUUAACAAUAUGAGAUUGAGGGUGCAUCUAGGAGAAGCAUCAAUGGAUUCUGGAACCACAUCGUAACUUCGAUGCGGUAGUAGGAGAUAUAACGAUUUGAGCAAAUAAGUCUCUAUAUAUGGACUGCCAUAUACAGAUUCUAGUAUAGUAAUGGUUGUGCCAAUUACAGACAUCAAGAAAAGAAAUGCAUGGUUGUGCCAAUUACAGACCUCUUGUUUCUUCAUCUUUAUUGGUUUUGUCAUUUGGGUUCUUGACAUCAAAUUAAUGAAAACUUCCGUGGGAUUCCCUCCCAUCAAGUUGGCACUAGCCUCUGGUUCUCAUUCUCAACAAUGGUUUUUGCACACAAUAAUCAUCUGGUGAAAGAGUUAUCAGUAACUUGUCAAGAUUUGUGAUGAUAUUAUAUGGGUAUUUGUUAUGUUAAUACUGGCAAAAAGAUGCACUGCGAAUUUGGCAUCAGUAUUAACGGUCCAACAAUUACAACGAACUGUUACCAGUACGAAGGGACAUUUUAAGGAACGGGGGGAGUGUUGGCUACGCAACAGAUGCUUAUCUAUAUGGUAUCUUGAAACAGUUAGGUUUUGACGAUUCCAAGUUUAAGGGCUUCAGCACUAAGGAAGGGUUUGAUGAAGCUCUUUCCAGAGGAAGUAAAAAUGGUGGAAUUGCUGCCAUCGUUGAUGAAAAGCACUACGAUGACGAUUUUUCUUGAAAAAUAUUGUUCUAAAUAUACCAUGAUAGCGCCCAUCUGCAAAACGGUUGGGUUUGGAUUCGUAAGACUUCCCUAAUUAUUUUUAACAAUUUUCAUACCAAACACUAUAAUUCACAUGUAAAAAUGCUAAAAUAUAUAACAGGGAGUGGAAAUUAAUGUCAAAAAUACUAAAACGUGUGAAAAUUUCCUCACUAUAUGCUGUUUAUUAAUUUCUGAGAUGACUUCACAGGUAUUUCCAAAACGUUCCCCUCUUCUCCAUGAUAUUUCCCAAGCGGUACUAAAUGUGACUGAGAUAGAGAAUAUACUAGAGUUCGAAAAUAAACUAUACAAGAAGGGAAGCAAAUGCCAAAAAUUGAGUACACCAAAAGUUUCUGGCAGCAGUCUUGGCCUUGACAGCUUUUGGGGCCUAUUCCUCGUAGUCGGAUUGGCUUCGGUGCUCGCUCUCAUCAUCCUUGUAGCUUCAUUCAUAUACAAGCAUCAGCACGUCUUGAUCCACCCUGCUUCAAGAGUAUCUACAUGCGAAAAGAUUCUGGCUGCCCUCAAACUUUUCAAUGAAAAAGACCUCAACUCUCGUAAUUUCAGAAGCCAUUACCAACAUCGACAUGCAGUACGUUACAGCUUCACCGAACUGCGUAGAUUUGCCUUCUGUAUCUUUCGAAGAGCCGCAAACACCAUCAACUGAUCAAGCUUCUCCACAACUAGCUCUUACAGCUACUGAUCGAGAUUGAUAUUACAGUUUAAGAAAUGAAAAGAGCUAUUUUGUAUACUCGAGAGUAAGCUUAAUUAAAAUAAAGAUCCAAUGCACUUGUGCAGGGUAUGAACUGUGGCUCCUCAUUUUUUUUUUGGCGGGG